RNAcentral lists this ribosomal RNA (254 nucleotides) under uncultured bacterium. RNAcentral's name for it is "partial 16S ribosomal RNA". It matches the Rfam family "Bacterial small subunit ribosomal RNA", at positions 524 to 776 of the family's 1533-position model. The record is from RNAcentral.
UACGAGGGGUGCUAGCGUUGUUCGGAAUCACUGGGCGUAAAGCGUGCGCAGGCGGACUGGAAAGUCAGGGGUGAAAGCCCAGAGCUCAACUCUGGAAUUGCCUUUGAAACUACCAUGUCUGGAGGCCGGGAGAGGAUAGUGGAAUUCCUAGUGUAGAGGUGAAAUUCGUAGAUAUUAGGAGGAACACCAGUGGCGAAGGCGACUGUCUGGACCGGUUCUGACGCUCAUGCACGAAAGCGUGGGGAGCAAACAGG